Molecule: ribosomal RNA, 496 nt
Filed under: Astaena sp. DA3491
Lineage: Eukaryota; Metazoa; Arthropoda; Insecta; Coleoptera; Scarabaeidae
Description: partial 16S large subunit ribosomal RNA
Rfam family: Bacterial large subunit ribosomal RNA
Source: RNAcentral
UUUAAAGUCUAACCUGCCCUAUGAGGAUUUAAAUGGCCGCAGUAUUUUGACUGUGCAAAGGUAGCAUAAUAAUUAGUUUUUUAAUUGAAAGCUUGAAUGAAUGGUUGGACGAGAAAAUAACUGUCUUUAUUUUAUUGUUUUAGAAUUUUAUUUUUAAGUAAGAAAGCUUAAAUUUAUUUAAAAGACGAGAAGACCCUAUAGAAUUUUAUAGAUAGUUAAUUAUUACUUUUUGAAGGUAUUAAUUUUUUUGUAAUUAAGUAUUUAUUUUAUUGGGGUGAUAUAAAAAUUUAAAGAACUUUUUAUUUUUAAUACAUUAAUUUAUGAUUAAUUGAUCCAUAAUUUAUGAUUAUAAGAUUAAAUUACCUUAGGGAUAACAGCGUAAUUUUUUUUUAGAGUUCUUAUUGUAAGAAGAGUUUGCGACCUCGAUGUUGGAUUAAAAUUAACUUUUGGUGUAGGUGCUAUUAAGUUAGGUCUGUUCGACCUUUAAAAUUUUACA